GUUUGAUCCUGGCUCAGGAUUAACGCUGGCGGCGUGCCUAAUACAUGCAAGUCGAACGGAAACCUUCGGGUUUUAGUGGCGAACGGGUGAGUAACACGUAAGCAACCUACCCUAAAGACGAGGAUAACCAUUGGAAACAGUGGCUAAGACUGGAUAGGAAGAUAAAAGGCAUCUUGUAUCUUUUAAAAGACCUAGUUAAUAGGUAUGCUUUAGGAGGGGCUUGCGCCAUAUUAGUUAGUUGGUAGGGUAAUGGCCUACCAAGACGAUGAUGUGUAGCUGGACUGAGAGGUUGAACAGCCACAUUGGGACUGAGACACGGCCCAAACUCCUACGGGAGGCAGCAGUAGGGAAUUUUCGGCAAUGGAGGAAACUCUGACCGAGCAACGCCGCGUGAAUGACGAAGUACUUCGGUAUGUAAAGUUCUUUUAUCGAGGAAGAAAAGCAAAUGGCGAACCAUUUGUUUGCCGGUACUUGAUGAAUAAGCCCCGGCUAAUUAUGUGCCAGCAGCCGCGGUAAGACAUAAGGGGCAAGUGUUAUCCGGAAUUAUUGGGCGUAAAGGGUGCGUAGGCGGUCUAGUAAGUCAGUGGUGUAAUGGCAACGCUUAACGUUGUCCGGCUAUUGAAACUGCUAAACUUGAGUUAGAUAGAGGCGAGUGGAAUUCCAUGUGUAGCGGUAAAAUGCGUAAAUAUAUGGAGGAACACCAGAGGCGUAGGCGGCUCGCUGGGUCUUAACUGACGCUGAGGCACGAAAGCGUGGGGAGCAAACAGGAUUAGAUACCCUGGUAGUCCACGCCGUAAACGAUGAGUACUAAGUGUCGGGUUAAACCGGUACUGAAGUUAACACAUUAAGUACUCCGCCUGAGUAGUACGUACGCAAGUAUGAAACUUAAAGGAAUUGACGGGACUCCGCACAAGCGGUGGAUCAUGUUGUUUAAUUCGAAGAUACCCGAAAAACCUUACCAGGUCUUGACAUGUUUUUGCAAAAUGAUAGUAAUAUCGUGGAGGUUACCAGAAACACAGGUGGUGCAUGGUUGUCGUCAGCUCGUGUCGUGAGAUGUUAGGUUAAGUCCUAAAACGAGCGAAACCCUUAUCGUUAGUUGCCAGCACGUUAUGGUGGGGACUUUAACGAGACUGCCAAUGAUAAAUUGGAGGAAGGUGAGGAUCACGUCAAAUCAGCAUGCCCCUUAUGACCUGGGCUACAAACGUGAUACAAUGGCUGUUACAAAGGGUAGCUGAAACGCAAGUUCUUGGCCAAUCCCCAAAAACAGUCCCAGUCCGGAUUGAAGUCUGCAACUCGACUUCAUGAAGUUGGAAUCGCUAGUAAUCGCGAAUCAGCAUGUCGCGGUGAAUACGUUCUCGGGGUUUGUACACACCGCCCGUCAAACCACGAAAGUUGGCAAUACCCCAAAACGGUAGCCUAACUCGUUUAUUCGAGAGGGCGCCGUCUAAGGUAGGGUCGAUGAUUGGGGUUAAGUCGUAACAAGGUAUCCCUACCGGAAGGUGGGGAUGGAUCACCUCCUUUCU
RNAcentral lists this ribosomal RNA (1523 nucleotides) under Candidatus Phytoplasma citri. Its description in RNAcentral is "bacterial SSU rRNA". It matches the Rfam family "Bacterial small subunit ribosomal RNA". Lineage: Bacteria; Bacillati; Mycoplasmatota; Mollicutes; Acholeplasmatales; Acholeplasmataceae. The record is from RNAcentral.